This 253-nucleotide ribosomal RNA is filed under the name uncultured bacterium. Its description in RNAcentral is "partial 16S ribosomal RNA". It matches the Rfam family "Bacterial small subunit ribosomal RNA", at positions 524 to 776 of the family's 1533-position model. The record is from RNAcentral.
UACGUAGGUGGCGAGCGUUAUCCGGAUUUACUGGGCGUAAGGGGAGCGUAGGCGGACUUUUAAGUGAGAUGUGAAAUACUCGGGCUCAACUUGAGUGCUGCAUUUCAAACUGGAAGUCUAGAGUGCAGGAGAGGAGAAUGGAAUUCCUAGUGUAGCGGUGAAAUGCGUAGAGAUUAGGAAGAACACCAGUGGCGAAGGCGAUUCUCUGGACUGUAACUGACACUGAGGCUCGAAAGCGUGGGGAGCAAACAGG